AAACUAUUCAAGAUGAAGCCAAUACGGAUGUAAAAGGAGUUCACCUCCAGAAUCCGAGAGCGCAUAAUCCUCAUGUGGAUUUUUCCGUUGCCUUCCUUCUGAACUU
This 106-nucleotide small nucleolar RNA is filed under the name Leucoagaricus sp. SymC.cos. RNAcentral's name for it is "Small nucleolar RNA Z13/snr52". It matches the Rfam family "Small nucleolar RNA Z13/snr52". From Rfam's summary of the family: Z13 or snr52 is a member of the C/D class of snoRNA which contain the C (UGAUGA) and D (CUGA) box motifs. Most of the members of the box C/D family function in directing site-specific 2'-O-methylation of substrate RNAs. Lineage: Eukaryota; Fungi; Basidiomycota; Agaricomycetes; Agaricales; Agaricaceae. The record is from Rfam by way of RNAcentral.